Molecule: ribosomal RNA, 278 nt
Filed under: uncultured bacterium
Lineage: Bacteria
Description: partial 16S ribosomal RNA
Rfam family: Bacterial small subunit ribosomal RNA
Source: RNAcentral
UGCCAGCCGCCGCGGUAAUACGAAGGGUGCAAGCGUUGUUCGGAUUUAUUGGGCGUAAAGCGCGCGUAGGCGGAUGCAUAAGUCUGGUGUGAAAUCUCGGGGCUUAACCCCGAAACUGCGCCGGAAACUGUGUAUCUAGAAUCCAGAGGGGAAAGGGGAAUUUCUCAUGUAGGGGUAAAAUCCGUAGAGAUGAGAAGGAACACCUGAGGCGAAGGCGCCUUUCUGGAUGGGUAUUGACGCUGAGGUGCGAAAGCGUGGGGAGCAAACAGGAUUAGAUA